Molecule: ribosomal RNA, 639 nt
Filed under: Naganishia albidosimilis
Lineage: Eukaryota; Fungi; Basidiomycota; Tremellomycetes; Filobasidiales; Filobasidiaceae
Description: eukaryotic LSU rRNA
Rfam family: Eukaryotic large subunit ribosomal RNA
Source: RNAcentral
UCUGGCCUCAAAUCAGGUAGGGCUACCCGCUGAACUUAAGCAUAUCAAUAAGCGGAGGAAAAGAAACUAACUAGGAUUCCCUUAGUAACGGCGAGUGAACCGGGAUGAGCUCAAAUUUGAAAUCUGGCGUCUUUCAGGCGUCCGAGUUGUAAUCUAUAGAGGCGUUUUCCGCGCCGGACCGCGUCCAAGUCUCUUGGAAUAGAGUAUCAAAGAGGGUGACAAUCCCGUACUUGACGCGACAACCGGUGCUCUGUGAUACGUUCUCAAUGAGUCGAGUUGUUUGGGAAUGCAGCUCUAAAUGGGUGGUAAAUUCCAUCUAAGGCUAAAUAUUGGCGAGAGACCGAUAGCGAACAAGUACCGUGAGGGAAAGAUGAAAAGCACUUUGGAAAGAGAGUUAAACAGCACGUGAAAUUGUUAAAAGGGAAACGAUUGAAGUCAGUCGUGUGGGAAGUAUUCAGCCGUCUCUGGCGGUGUAUUUGCUUCUCACGGGUCAACAUCAGUUUGAUCCGGUAGAAAAAGGCGGGAAGAAGGUGGCACCCUCGGGUGUGUUAUAGCUUCCUGUCAUAUGUGCCGGACCAGACUGAGGAACGCAGCUUGCAGCAAUGCCGGGGUUCGCCCACGUACAAGCUAGGAUGUGAC